This is a non-coding RNA of Podarcis lilfordi (Lilford's wall lizard), 13103 nucleotides long. The record is from the annotation of a GenBank genome assembly. Lineage: Eukaryota; Metazoa; Chordata; Lepidosauria; Squamata; Lacertidae.
GAGGGAAUAUGGUCUUUCAGAGAGCUUGGACCUAAGCCAUAUAGGGCUUUAUAGGUUAGAAGCAGCACUUUGAAUUGUGCUUGGAAGCAGAGAAGUAGCGAGUGGAGGUGUUGUAACAAGGAAAUUGUAAAUAAUAAUAAUAAUAAUAAUAAUAAUAAUAAUAAUAAUAAUAAUUUUUAUUUAUAUCCCACCCUCCCCAGCCAAAGCCAGGCUCAGGGCGGCUAACAACAAACAAAUAAUCAAACAAUCAAAUAAUCCAACAUUCUAAAACAUUUCAUUAUAAAAAUUAAUUAAAAUCAAAUUAAUGGCAACCGUUAAGCAAAGUUCUGUGCAGGUUGCCAGAGGAAGGAGUCAGGCUGGGCCCUGACCAAAGGCCUGGUGGAACAACUCUGUCUUGCAGGCCUUGCGGAAAGAUGUCAGGUCCCGCAGGGCCCUAGUCUCUUGUGACAGAGCGUUCCACCAGAUUGGAGCUGCAGCCGAGAAAGCCCUGGCUCUAGUUGAGGCCAGCCUAACCUCUCUGAGGCCUGGGACCUUCAGGAUGUUUUUAUUUGCAGACCGUAGGUUCCUCUGUGGGGCAUACCAGGAGAGGCGGUCCCGUAGGUACGAGGGUCCUAGGCCGUAUAGGGCUUUAAAGGUUAAAACCAGCACCUUAAACCUGAUCCUGUACUCCACCGGGAGCCAGUGCAGCUGGUAUAGUACCGGAUGAAUGUGAUCUCGCAGCGAAGACCCCAUAAGGAGUCUCGCCGCGGCAUUCUGCACCCGCUGGAGUUUCUGGGUCAGUCUCAAGGGCAGCCUCACGUAGAGCGAGUUACAAUAAUCCAGUCUGGAGGUGACCGUCGCGUGGAUCACAGUGGCUAGGUCGGGCGAGAGAGAUAAGGGGCCAGCUGCUUAGCUUGGCGGAGAUGAAAAAAUGCCGCCUUUGUUAUAGCUGUAAUCUGCGCCUCCAUAGAGAGGGAGGUAUCGAAGAUUACACCCAAACUCUUAACGGACGGUGCUGGCACUAAUUGCACCCCCGCAAGAGAUGGGAGUUGCCCCCCCAAUCCCAUAUCGUCCCGUCCCAGCCAGAGGACCUCUGUCUUCGAAGGAUUUAGCUUCAACCGGCUUCCACGUAACCAUCCAGCCACAGCUUCCAAACAUCUGGUCAGUGUGUCUGGGGCCGAGUCAGGAUGGCCAUCCAUCAACAGAUAGAGUUGGGUGUCAUCGGCAUACUGAUGGCAACCCAGCCCAAAACUCUGGACAAGCUGGGCGAGGGGGCGCAUAAAGAUGUUGAAAAGCAUCAGGGAGAGUAUCGCACCCUGAGGCACUCCACACACCAAGGAGUGGCGCGAUGACAAUUCCCCCCCAAGCGCCACCCUCUGUCCCCGACCAGAGAGAAACGAGCGCAGCCAUUGAAGGACUGUGCCCUGGAUCCCCAUGUCGGCAAGGCGGUGGUCCAGGAGUUCGUGAUCGACCAUGUCGAAGGCUGCUGACAGGUCUAGAAGAAUUAUCCUCCUAUAUCAGAAAAAAUAUCAAAGCCAUUUACAAUAGCACAUUUUCGUUAAAAAAAACCCCAUAACCACUUAAAAUCAGAGCCCAGUAACAAACUAUUAUGGAGAAACGUAUUCUUCAUUGCCCUCAUAAGCCUGGCAGAACAAAGUUUUCAGUUGGCUUAAAAGUCUUAAAGGCUUAAAAGUCAGAAGGCUUUUGUGGAAUGGUUCUAGAACAAGGGAAAUGCUAUUUUUUAGACGGAGGUGAAAUAUCACGUUGAUUUUUGACUUAAAGGGAAGGGAAAGUGUAGAUUUUGACUUUCCCGUAAGAACAGAAAAUGAUCUACUGUUCAAAGCUUUGGAACAAAAUGGUUCAUUAGUUCCCCUCCCCUUGCAUAUCUGAGGAAUGUCAUGCCCUCACAAUGGCACACAUUUUGAACUCUUUCCAAUUUCAGAUAUUUCCCAUCUCUUUUAAUACCUCAUUGCUUUUGCAUCAAUUACAGCCUGACCUAAAGCCUCACUGGAAGUAGAUAUGAUAUAUAGUGGAAUCUAUUUAAAUGAAUUUCUGAUGAAAGAAUAAAACUGUUAAAAGAAUAAAUUUACCACACACAGAUUUAUACAAAUCCAGUAUAUGCAGUGAAAUCCUCUUAAAUGAAAAACUGAUGAAAGAUUAAAAUGUUAAAUGAAUUAAAACCCAGCAUCCCAGUGAUAUAUAAUGAUGAUUUGACCUAUUAAAGGAGAGAACCUGAUGAACAUAGUACCAGUGGAGUGCUCCAGGAUGUCAGUUUUUAAAUAUGCAGUGAAACUCUGUAAAGUAAAUACAUGAUCAAUAUAUAUAUCUAUUAAGACUAAAUUUAUUGUAGACUAAAUAAAUAGUAGACAUUUAUUACUCUUGCUCACUCGGUAGGUGAAUGCAGUAUGUCGUCUGUUGCUAAUGGAUGCGAGAAGCAUGUGCUACAGACUGCUAAGAAUUUAACUCAACGUGUGAAUCAGAGGAUUAUUGCAUUCAAAGGUAUGCAGCCCAUUCACCUAGUCGGACUAAAUCAGAACAUGCAGGAGGGGGACAGGGAGGGAUUAUCACACAUUGUACCUGUGGCUCUGUAGAUGGGCAUUUUGCUUAAUACAUCACAGAAAAUGACUGCACAGUUCCUGUGUUGCAAGAGAAGCAUGGAUGAUAAUGUGUGAUGUGCAUAAAGGUCUCUCUUACUCAUGAUUCUUUUCACACACUACACUGACACCCACAUUAUCUUUGAAAAGGGCAAAAGAAAUUCUCUUUAAAAAAUUAAUGCACAUAUGUGUAACCAACCUCCUGGAGGGGAUUGUUAUUAUUAGCUGUAUUGCUUUCAUCACCUGCCGAACCUUUUUGUUGAAGCAGGCCUGUCCAGACGUGUAAAUUUGGCAUGUAUAUUUAUAUGUCGUUUUAUUUUAUAAUGAAUAUUUUAAAACUGCUAUGGGAAAAAAAAUCAAGCUAGCUUGUUUCUAACGGCUACUUUACCAGUAAUUUUAAUGUAUAUUAUUUGCAAAGCACUUAGAAAUUUUGAUGAUUAAGUGACAUAUAAUCUUGGACUACUGCAACGCGCUCUAUGUGGGGCUACCUUUGAAGGUGACCCAGAAACUACAACUAAUCCAGAAUGCAGCAGCUAGACUGAUGACUGGGAGUGGCUGCCGAGACCACAUAACACCGGUCUUCAAAGACCUACAUUAGCUCCCAGUACGUUUCCGAGCACAAUUCAAAGUGUUGGUGUUUAGCGUUUAGGCCUUUAAAGCCCUAAACAGCCUCGGUCCAGUAUACCUGAAGGAGCUUCUCCACCCCCAUCGUUCUGCCCGGACAUUGCGGUCCAGCGCCGAGGGCCUUCUGCCGGUUCCCUCGCUGCAAGAAGCCAAGUUACAGUGAACCAGGCAGAGGGCCUUCUUGGUAGUGGCACCCACCCUGUGGAACGCCCUCCCACCAGAUGUCAAAGAGAAAAACAACUAUCUGACUUUUAGAAGACAUCUGAAGGCAGCCCUGUUUAGGGAAGCUUUUAAUGUUUAAUAGACUAUUGUAUUUUAAUAUUUUGUUGGAAGGCACCCAGAGUGGCUGGGGAAACCCAGCCAGAUGGGUGGGGUAUUAAUAAUAAUAAUAAUAAAAUAACAACAACAAAUAAAUUGCAUUAUUGGGGAGCAAGAGCCUGAAACAGAGUGCUAUUAACAUCUUCAGGGUUCUCUCCUGCAUGCCCCUAGUGAGGAGUAUAUAGCACUGAACAGAUGCCUGCUUUACAACAAGAUAGAGUUCCCUUUUGCAGAGGGAGCGGGGAAGGGAAGAUCCCAUGGUGUUGAACUACAGUGGCCCCUCAGAGGUGUAUCUGGCUCCAUAACUAGACAGCUUUCAGCGAAUGGUGAAGACGCACCUCUUUGCCCUGGCUUUUGACACCUGAGAUGAUGAUGAUGAUAAUGAUGAUGAUGAUGAUUUAUUUAUACUCCGCCCAUCUGGCUGGGUUUCCCCAGCCAGUCUGGGAGGCUCCAAACAGAAUAUUAAAAACACGUUAAAACAUCAAACAUUAAAAACUUCUCUAAACAGGGCUGCCUUCAGAUGUCUUCUAAAAAUCAGAUAGUUGUUUAUUUCCUUGACAUCUGGUGGGAGGGCAUUCCACAGGGUGGGCACCACUACCGAGAAGGCCCUCUGCCUGGUUCCCUGUAACCUCACUUCUCACAGUGAGAUGUGUGGUUUUGGGGGACUCAUACUGUUCCUGAAACUGUAAACUGUUUUAAUUGUUUUAAACUCUGAAUUUUAAAUUGUUGUAACCUACCCUGGAUCUGCUGGUGAAGGCCAAGUAAUAAAUUUAAUAAAUAAUAAAAUAAUAAUAAUACUAUCACUUACACAAGUUUUUAAGGUUUUAAUUUGUGUCGACCACAGCAAACUAUGGCAAGUUCUUAAAGAAAUGGGAGUGCCUGAUCACCUCAUCUGUCUCCUGAGAAAUCUCUAUGUGGGACAAGAAACUACAGUUAGAACUGGAUAUGGAACAACUGAUUGGCUCAAAAUUGGGAAAGAAGUACGACAAGGCUAUAUAUUGUCUCCCUGCUUAUUUAACUUAUAUGCAGAAUUCAUCACGUGAAAGGCUGGGCUGGAUGAAUCCCAAACUGGAAUUAAGAUUGCUGGAAGAAAUAUCAACAACCUCAGAUAUGCAGAUGACACAACCUUGAUGGCAGAAAGUGAGGAGCAAUUAAAGAACCUUUUAAUGAGGGUGAAAGAGGAGAGCGCAAAAUAUGGUCUGAAGCUCAACAUCAAAAGAACUGAGAUCAAGGCCACUGGUCCCAUCACCUCCUGGCAAAUAGAAGAGGAAGAAAUAGAGGCAGUGAGAGAUUUUACUUUCUUGGGCUCCAUGAUCACUGUAGAUGAUGACAGCAGUCACGAAAUUAAAAGAUGCCUGCUUCUUGGGAGAAAAGCAAUGAGAAACCUAGACAGCACCUUAAAAAGCAGAGACAUCACCUUGCCAACAAAGGUCCGUAUAGUUAAAGCCGUGGUUUUCCCAGUAGUGAUGUAUGGAGGUGAGAGCUGGACCAUAAAGAAGGUUGAUUGCCGAAGAAUUGAUGCUUUUGAAUUAUGGUGCUGGAGGAGACUCUUGAGAAUCCCAUGGACUGCAAGAAGAUCAGUCCUAUCCAUUCUUAAGGAAAUCAGCCCUGAGUGCUCACUGGAAGGACAGAUCCUGAAGCUGAGGCUCCAAUACUUUGGCCACCUCAUGAGAAGAGAAGACUCCCUGGAAAAGACCCUGAUGUUGGGAAAGAUUGAGGGCACAAGGAGAAGGGGACGACAGAGGACGAGAUGGUUGGACAGUGCUCUCGAAGCUACCAGCAUGAGUUUGACCAACCUGUGGGAGGCAGUGGAAUAGAGGAGUGCCUGGCGUGCUCUGGUCCAUGGGGUCACGAAGAGUCGGACACAACUAAACAACUAAACAACAACAGAAAAAUAAAGAACAUCAAUAAAUAAUUAUACAAAAAUAAUAAAUAAAGUGUGAGUGUGUUGUAAUGAUAUAUAGUCAUACUUCAUGUUACGUUUGCUUCCUGAUAGGUUGUGUCCCGCAGAGAACCAGAAGUACCGGAAAGGCUUACUUCUGGGUUUUGCUGCUCGCGCAUGCGCAGAAGCGGCGAAUUGCAACCCCCACAUGCACAGAUGCACCACUGCAGGUUGCGUUCUGCUCAUGUUGCGAACGGGCCUCCGGAACGGAUCCCGUUCGCAACCAUAGGUACCACUGUAUAACUCUUCUACAGCAUUUGUUUGUGUCUUGGUUACCAAGUUAUUAAUGAAAUCAUGUCUAUAUUUUCUUUUUUCUAGCAGUGCUUCCAAAGAAAGGCAAAAACACUUCAUGAAGCAGUAAUGAAAAACGUGAUAAAACAUUAAAAGAAACCAAUUUUCUCCAAUGCCUCUUUUCUCAUAUCAAGCAUACCAAGACAUUUACAACAUUCCUGCCUGCAUUGCUUAUUUGUUUUUUUCCCUCAGCAACCGCUGCACAUUACAGACUCUUGCAGCACUCCAGGGGCCAUCUCCCUUCCCUCAAGGGGGAAAAAGAUGGCAUGGUGCUCCUAUCUUCCCUCCAAGAGGACAUACAUAUACUUCUCAAGAACUAAAUCAGGGGUAGUCAGGCUUUUUAUACCUACCGCCCACUAAUUCAUCUUUCUUGAGGGUAAAAUUUCCUUACCACCCACCAGUGCUCGAUGGAAGGAGGAUUCAGCUUGUGCCGUAGAACCCCCUACCGCCCACCUAGAAUCCUGAAACGCCCACUAGUGGGUGGUAGGGACCAGGUUGACAACCCAUCAACCCCUAACACCCAAUAGCUGUUUUUAAAUGAUAAAACCCUGGAGGAUCCAGUUCAUUGUUCUCCAAAAAUACAUCUUGUUUGAUCUUAAGGAUGCUUUAUUUUCAAGCUUCAUAAUGUAUGUUUUGGGCCUUCUUAAAAACACUUCUUUGCAACUGUUUAAACUCACUGUCGUGAUUCUUUAUUAUUAUUUUUGCCAUUCUGCAAGUUAAUUAAAUGUGCCUAGCAGAAUAUGUAUUAAGGAACACUAUUCUUAAAUAAUUGUUUUGUUCUGCUGAGGGGAAUAAAAGUCAUUGCCAGAUCCACUGUAAUAGCAGAAAACAAGUUUAAAUCUAGAUUUGAAUUGGCAAGAUUUUUUUUAGAUGUGAAACCCCCUCCCCCAUACUACUUCUUUUAAAUCAGUGGGAUGAUCAUGCCGAAUCCACUGAUAUAUCUUUGAAAGAAACACCAACCAGAGUUGUCCAUCAUAUAUACGCAAUGCAGGAGACGUAGACGAUUAGAUGAAUGUAAUAAAGGACAACCAAAAUGAUUCUGAGCUUUGCGAAUUAGAGUUUUGAAAGAAGGUUAAUCAGUCUUGCCCUUUAUAGCUCAUGUUAAGGAGACUAAGAGGGCGAUCUCCUUGAGAAACACAAGUUACUUUAGAGAUGAGAACAGAUUGUUCUCCCCAACAAUCUGUUUAAGAUAGCAACUAGCUAAAAUGAAUGAGAGAUGGAUAUAUAAAGAGAAGGCCACCUAAAAUCAAUACAGAUUUGAUGGGGCUCACAGGAACAAAGUCAUAAAAUCCAAUAAGGGCAAUGGGAUUGGUGAAUGAACCCUUGCAGGACAAACACUUCUGUUAACCAGGAGGCUUCUCAAAGCAGCAUUAAGAGUGAAAGGAUGCUUGAUACAGGCAGAGCGAGAGUCAGGAUCCUUGGGCACAUACUGAGGUGCACAUCACAAAGCAGGGGGCACUGCCAAUUUCUGGAACCCCCUGACUCUGCUGUUUCUGCUGUGCCUGUUCAUCAGCCUCCUGUAAGCAGCUGGGCAAUGGUAGGAGGAGGAAGGAACUGCCACUUCCACUCACCUUCCCUUUUGGGUGGCUGUGUGGAUUGGCCCAAAGGCAGAGGGCAAGUGAACUGGCUGUGGUGAAAAAGACAUGGCCAACUCAGGCAGCAGGUCCUCUGAGGUCAUGUUGGCCAAGGACUUCCCCAAACCUGGAUCCAGCACCGGAUACAGGAAGAGUCUUAGGGCAUACCAAUUAGAAGAGUCCCAAACCUCAGCCGGGAGCAGCAGGGCAGAAUCAAGUGGCAGGUCCAUCACCAGAUCCAAAAAAUCAAUCAGGGUAGAAAGUGGUAUUUUGUUUUUCUAUUUUGCUGUGCAAACUCUAGGCUUGAGCAGCCUGGGAAAUGGGCCACUUUUGGAUCCACUGGGUCUGUUUUCCUUUUCUCUAUAAUUCCCCAUUGUGGGGUCUUGUGCUAGGUAUCAAGGUGGGAACACCACGGGUGGUAACUUCCUAAACACUCUACUUUGGGUGGGUGCCGCAGGGGCCUCUGUGAAAGGCAGCCCCAGCUGAAGGCCAAUGCUAUUCUAUGGACACCCUGCAUCAGCCUUGCCAUGCAGUUCAAUGUAGAGCAGGGGUAGCCAACAUGGCACCCUCUUAAUGUUGUUGGACUACAACUCCCAUUUCCCAUCACAACUGGCUAUGCUGACUUGGCUGGUGAAGGCACCACAUUGGCUAUCCCUGGUGCACUGCCCAUUGCUGAAAUGACUGGAAAAGACCUUGCAAGUAGAUGAUUUCUGUUCUCAAUCAAAGUCCACAAAUGCUGGCUUUAUUGCAGUGUCUGGCUAAAGCAUCUCCCCAACGUUAAUUUCCUUUGUACUGCCAAAACCCAUGAAAACCACAACCCUCUCCCAGUAAAUCUGCCCCUUCCCAUGCUUUAGUUAUCUUCUUCCUUGUUGUGUUUGUCAUGAUCUUUGUAUCAGCACUAGAAGUAAAUAAAUCAAAUGAAUUUUAAGUUAUUCAUGUUGUUUGUAGAGGGUGGGGGAUGAGAGCUGGGAUUUAAGGCUUCGGGAAAGUGGUGUGCAGUAGGCUAAUCUGCUUUAAUACAGGGAAAUCAUUCCAAAGCCAUGCUGGCUCUGAAGUGUUCUUUGUUUUGUUUCUGUGUAUAUGAAAAAGCAAAAUACUUAGUACAUUACGGCAAUAAUUGCUGUGAAUAUAAGCCGAAUGUAUUUUCAUAUACUAUAGACAUCCAUGUUUCAUUAAGGACAAUCAAAGAGCAAUUUUCUGUGUAUGUCUUUGUGUGUUUGUAAGGAAAGAAAUAAUUGGUACUAAAGAAAGAGUUCCAUGUUUCACCAAACACCUGACUUCAUUUACAUCAAGAUUAUUGGUGUCACCUUCCAGUAAGUCAGGAAAACCUGCCAGGGUAAUUAAUAUAUGGAGAGCAGAGUUUGCGACUUUGUCAAGUAUUUAUGAAGUAUUUAGUGCACCCUUCUUUUCAUUAUAAUUUCAGAGCAUUUAAAUGUAGUUGUCAUGCUCUGAGUUAUGAUUUGCCUUUUUCUAUGAAAGGAAAGCUUUUUUUUUAUUUGUGUCAUAGAAUGCUGGGAUUCUUGGGGUUCAGUAUUAAAUACAAUAUUUCAUACUUUGUGGCAUAAUCACAGCCUUGGAGAUUUCCAGACCCCCUGCAAAUAAUAAAGCCUUGCCUCUUCGUAUUUAUGCAUGACUUCUGCUUCACCUCUUGAACCUUUUCAACAUACUGUCAAGCAGACUCUAUUUUCUCUGAUUAUCCGAGAUUACUUUCCGUCCUCUCAAAUGCAGUUCAUUACUUUCUUCAAUGGAAUUCCAAAUCUGUGCUCUAACAGAUUCCUAAACCUUAGCAAACCUGUACAUUACUAAGCCUUCGCUGUGCUUGCCAUAUGGUUAACCUGAUUUCAGUGACCCAAAUCACAUAAUUUUGAUUAAUGAUGUGUAAUUAGAAAAAAUACCAUGCUGGCAGUAAUUAAGUCCCUCAUGAGCUUAUCUCCACCAGCCAUGUAAGGAAAGCUAUUUGACAAGCUGAAGAACCCAUAGAAAAUGUAGGGUGUGAAUUCAGCCCCUCAUAUCAUUUCAGGUCGUCUUGCUAAGCAUAUUUAUUUAUAUGAAGACCUCACUAAAAUCAAUAGUACUAGAAUCAGUCAGUGGGAUAUGGGUACAUGAUCCAUAGCUUAUGCACACAUCACAUGACUUUAUGGAUCAGGAACUGUGGCAUCAACUGAAUGUAUAUGUGUAUUUGAAUGUUUAAUUAUACAUUGAAAUGUGCAUCACUAUUCAUACUGUAAGAACCAAGAAGACCCUCUUGGACUAGAGUCCAGCACCCUGUUCUCACCGUGGCUGCCCACAUGCCUGUGGGAAACCUGUAAGCAGACCCGAGCACAAGAGGGUUCUCAUCUCUUGUGGUCUCUAGCAAUCGGUAUUCAGAAGCAAACUACCUCCAGCUAUGAUUAAUCCACAUUCUGUUACUGUGAUUAAUCCAGAGAAUCCACAUUUUUUGACAGACUAGGCACACAUAAAUAUCUUUUUUUAAAAAUAAGCAACAAGCUAGUCUGGAAUUUUUAAGCCACCACAUGCUAAUACUGCAAGGUAGUUGUGUCAUCUCAAAAAUUAAAACCAAAAAACCAAAACUGGUUUUCAGUUGCAUCUGGGAAGCUGUUAAGUUUUGCUGCAAUGUAUUAUUUUGUGACUUGACUGGACUGUGGAUGUGUUUAGAAAGAGUUCACUAAAAUGGCACCUGCAGGAACCAUUCUGCUUUCCAGUACCUCCUUUGGAGUCCACAAACAAUCUCAGUAAAUCCCCUCAAAAAUCUAUAUUGCCUGUUAUGCCUUGUCUGCAUUGAAUGUGCCCUCUUAAACAUCCCCACAUUCAUUGCCUGGACUAGACAACCACCCAUUAUUUCAUUUUGAACAGAGGAGAGGUGCAAAGAGCUUCUCUCUAUGAUGGAGCAUGGGGGUCGGUAGUGUAGAUGCCUUUUCUCCAAUGAUGUGGGGAGGGCAUGCCCGUACAAUUUUGUGGGCCUGCCUCUUUUUCUGCUUUUUUGGGAUGUCGUGGCCAUAUUGUGCCACAUGUCCACCACAGCCAUUGUGUAUUAUGCCUUCAUUGGAGCUGAUUUAUGACUAAUCUCCACAGCACUUUGUCAGACUUCCAGGUGUGCCUAUAGGCCAAAAAGGUUGGCAACUCUGAUAUAAGUAUCAUGCCAUAUUAGAAAAAAGCAAAACACAACACUUAAGGUAGCCAUGUUUCCAAAACCCAUGGUUGGGCAGAGUUUUAUUGGAUCAACCAAAAUGUCAGAGUAUUGUAAGCAGGUACUUCAUAACUCUUCAGCAGACUAGAUGUCAUACAAAGCAGGGGAUGUAGGAAUAAGGAAGAAAGGUGCAAAAAUUAGGCUUUGUACUGUAGGAAUGGAGGUUGGCAUUUGGAUUCAGUCUCAAGAUGGAGAUUGCAGAUUGAUUGAUUGAUUGAUUGAUUGAGUGAAUGAGUGUCUGUUAGCUGCUGCACUGCUGCAGGAUUCAGGUUACAGCUAGGAUUCUGGGAUACAGAAGCAAUAGCUGAUCUCCAUUCUUAACAUCACAAAGCCUGGCAGUUUCCAAAGAUACAUCUCACACCUCAGGCAAAACACAUGUGUUCCUGGUAAGAAGAAGAGAACACAAGUCAAGAGAAAUACAGCAGACUUCAUAUUAACAAAGCUGUAAAGCACUGUUAUUUGUCUGAUUAAGUGGGAGUUGGAGAUCUUAAAAUGGCCGUCAAAUCACUUAGGAUGUAUCAUGGUUAAAAGACCCAUUAUGCUGUGAGUUUGGCAGCUGUGCUCCAAUUUGUACACCUGAACAUAGACAGGCGGGUUUUAAAUGUACAUGUUAAAGGAGGUAUAUUUGGAGGUCUCAAAGCAUUGGCUCAUAUUGCUCAUUUCCAUCUACAAGGAAAGUAAAAACUCAUUUGGAAUGAGCUUGGGGUAGUGUACGUGGUUGUCCCCCACUCAAGAGAGAGAGAGAAAGAGAGAGAAUGAAUGAAUGAAUGGCUAGCUGGCUGACCCAGGGCUGAUUGGGUCAUUCUGGUUUUCAAUGGUCUUCCUGCACUGUUUUGUAAUGCCACCCUACCUCCCAGAAUACUGGUUUUCAGCACAGCUGUGGGAAUAGCUGUUUGAGAAUUGAAAAUCACCUCUCUGCUGCCAAAACAAACGUACCCAGGAACAAGAGUGGGUUUUAGGUACGGAUGGGAGACUACAACCAUACCAACUGUCUGCAAGAAACAAUCCUGAAAAUUGACCCAAACAGAAAGAAGGUACUUCCCAAGUGCAAAGCUGCUUGGCUUGCUGAUCUGGUCACAUAGUUCACAGCAAUCAAUAACGGUUCCAUUGCAUGCAGAGAGAUUACAUUAAAUAAUUGCAUAUGCACCUACAAAGCAGCUGGCUUGUAGUUCACAUUGCUUUUCAGCAAUCAAUGAGAGUUUUCGAUAAGGGUUUCACUUAAAGUAAGGAGCUAACAUUAAAGAACUUUUGCAAUCUGGACAUACUGAAUGCUGACAAUGCAUGUGCAGAAUUUUCUUUUAUAUUCUCACCUUGAAAAGGACAUCUAAGAGAAAGGUUUUUGACUUGUAAUACAGAUGAUCAGUACCAACAUGAGAAAUGCCCAUUCCAAAGCAGGAAAUCACAAACUUCUCUGCCAAAAAAGACCCAGCUGAGAUAGUUAAAAGUGAUUUGUAAUAGUGGACAUAAUGCUUGUAAUUUGAGGGACUUUUUACUUCCAGAAUGACUUUGUAAGGCAUAUUCUGUAUGUUGAACAGCACAUAAUCCAUGUCCUAAUUUGGUCUAGUGCAGACUGAACCUGCCUCCAUUUCUCCUUCUCACUUCUAACCUCCCUUCCUCUUUUCUCAUCUUACCUGGAUGUUGUAAAGGCAGCAAGAACCCAAGAUGGGAGCCACCUCAUGGUCUCCAACACCAUUCAGGAAUACAAGGAACCAUGAAAAACAUACAUAUACAAUAAAUAUGCACAAAAUGGUUUCUGGUGGUUCUGGAUACUUGUAAUCAACACUAGUCUUAUUAAAGCCCCAGCUGUGAGUCUUCCCUUUUGCUGCCACAUCUAGAUGUUAGGAAAUGGAAAGAGUGACGGGAAGGCGGGGGUGGGGGGUACAGGUCAGUACUGGGUUAGCCUAUACUGUAGAAGUUGCAGUCCUAAAUUAGCCUAUUAUAUGGCUGUGUGUGAAUAAAAUGCAAGCAGGUGAGCCCAUGCCUCAUUUCAAAGGCUUCUUUCCCGAUAUGCCUGAUUAUUAAAGAUUCCUCUUGCUGUGAAAUAAUCUCCUUGCACAAAACAUAUUCAAGAGCUCCUGAAUGAAGACUCCAUUGUUGCAAAUGCAAUGUGCUACAUAGAUGACUCACUGGGAAGAAAGAAAUGAGCAGAUAAUAAGGCAUUCAUCUAAGAAGUCACUCUUUUUGUAUAGUUUUUUCCAGGUUUGUCUACACUAGGGAUAAUGCUGUCCUGCAGUUGUGGGCUUCAGUUCCCAACAGCCCCAGGAAGCACAGCCAGGGAUCAAGGAUGAUGGGAGUUGAUCUAAUGACAUCUGGAGGCACUGCACUGGAUAACCCCCGAGUCUAUGCUGUGCCAAUGAAGGAAGAAGAACAUGGUGCCAGGGAUACCAGUUUAUUUAAAGCUUCAGUUAUUUAUCAUUUCUGUUUCUUUAAAAAGAAUGUUACAGCUUUGGGCUGAUACAAAUCUAUGUAGUUCAUUCACAACUUCUGUAUGACUAAUUUCAUAUUGUUCAAAGUUUCUCCUAGUAAGUUUCUUGUCUCACAUUAUGAACAUUUUUGUUCUUAGGCAGAUACCAAGGUACCCACAUAAGACAGCG